UGGGGAAUAUUGCACAAUGGAGGGAACUCUGAUGCAGCGACGCCGCGUGAGUGAUGAAGGAAUUCGUUUCGUAAAACUCUGUUCUAUGGGAAGAAAAGGACUGUACCAUAGGAGAAAGCUCCGGCUAAAUACGUGCCAGCAGCCGCGGUAAUACGUAUGGAGCGAGCGUUGUCCGGAAUUAUUGGGCGUAAAGGGUGCGCAGGCGGCUUUACAAGUUGGAUGUGAAAUAUUGUGGCUCAACCACAAACGUGCAUCCAAAACUGCAAAGCUUGAGUUAAAGAGAGGUAAGUGGAAUGCCUGGUGUGGCGGUGGAAUGCGUAGAUAUCAGGAGGAAUACCGGUGGCGAAGGCGACUUACUGGACUUAAACUGACGCUCAGGCACGAAAGCGUGGGGAGCAAACAGG
This 404-nucleotide ribosomal RNA is filed under the name Fusobacteriota bacterium. Its description in RNAcentral is "Fusobacteria bacterium partial 16S ribosomal RNA". It matches the Rfam family "Bacterial small subunit ribosomal RNA", at positions 355 to 776 of the family's 1533-position model. The record is from RNAcentral. Lineage: Bacteria; Fusobacteriati; Fusobacteriota.